AUGCUAUUUUAUAGCUUCAAGAAGAGUACAUGAAUUCCAAAAGGAAAAAAGCAACUUUAUGCAAGUGCUUUGCUUAAAAAUAAUGUGUACAAAAAAUCAUCCAUGGCUAGAGACUCUUAUCACUAUUAAUGAUAACAAGAGAACUUAUCUCUACAGGAAAGAGCUUGAACCUCACUGAACACUGGAAUUCAGACAAGAGGUGAUGAGUGUGAUAUAUUUCAGAGCAGGGGUGAAAAGCAAAUGGUCCCUAUUCAGGGAGUACAAACUCUGAGAGUAUUUGGAAAGAAAAGUGUGGGGCUGAGCUUUGCACCACCAAAGCCCAACCAAGUUUCCUCUUUGCCCACUCCCUCAGCCAUGAGGCCAGAGAGAGAAGAGGCUGGACGUCAAAGAGACAGAGGUGGUAAAAGGACAAGCUCAAUUCACAGAUGGGUUGGCUCAGGAUGUGAGGCACCAUAUCCUCACUCAGAAGGUCGCACUACAUCCUCACUCAGAUGGGAGAGGAGGUGCCUGAAAGAAAAUGGUGACAAGAGAAUCUUCUCCAAGAGAUUCAAUUCGAGACUCUGAAGGAACAUCUUGCUUCCUCACUUUGAGAUGGCCUGAGUUCUCUGCAGCAAACUGCAUCCCAGUUUGACCGCUCCCUCUGCUCAUUCCUGAAUACAGCCCAAUAACCUACAUGGAUGGAGAUCUACUCCCUUUUGGUUUAUUCCCAAAAAAACGCAACCCAAAACAAUUAAU
Non-coding RNA from Heterocephalus glaber (naked mole-rat), 735 nucleotides. The record is from RefSeq and is a predicted model, not a curated record. NCBI's taxonomy places the organism in Eukaryota, Metazoa, Chordata, Mammalia, Rodentia, Bathyergidae.